This 165-nucleotide ribosomal RNA is filed under the name uncultured bacterium. RNAcentral describes it as "partial 16S rRNA". It matches the Rfam family "Bacterial small subunit ribosomal RNA", at positions 355 to 511 of the family's 1533-position model. The record is from RNAcentral.
UAGGGAAUCUUCGGCAAUGGACGAAAGUCUGACCGAGCAACACCGCGUGAGUGAAGAAGGUUUUCGGAUCGUAAAACUCUGUUGGUAGAGAAGAACGUUGGUGAGAGUGGAAAGCUCAUCAAGUGACGGUAACUACCCAGAAAGGGACGGCUAACUACGUGCCUG